Molecule: ribosomal RNA, 641 nt
Filed under: uncultured bacterium
Lineage: Bacteria
Description: bacterial SSU rRNA
Rfam family: Bacterial small subunit ribosomal RNA
Source: RNAcentral
CAUGUUUUUCUUAUCAAAGCUCCGGCGGUACAGGAUGGACCCGCGUCUGAUUAGCUAGUUGGUGAGGUAAUGGCUCACCAAGGCGACGAUCAGUAGCCGACCUGAGAGGGUGAUCGGCCACAUUGGAACUGAGACACGGUCCAAACUCCUACGGGAGGCAGCAGUGGGGAAUAUUGCACAAUGGGCGAAAGCCUGAUGCAGCAACGCCGCGUGAGCGAUGAAGGCCUUCGGGUCGUAAAGCUCUGUCCUCAAGGAAGAUAAUGACGGUACUUGAGGAGGAAGCCCCGGCUAACUACGUGCCAGCAGCCGCGGUAAUACGUAGGGGGCUAGCGUUAUCCGGAUUUACUGGGCGUAAAGGGUGCGUAGGCGGUCUUUUAAGUCAGGAGUGAAAGGCUACGGCUCAACCGUAGUAAGCUCUUGAAACUGGAGGACUUGAGUGCAGGAGAGGAGAGUGGGAUUCCUAGUGUAGCGGUGAAAUGCGUAGAUAUUAGGAGGAACACCAGUAGCGAAGGCGGCUCUCUGGACUGUAACUGACGCUGAGGCACGAAAGCGUGGGGAGCAAACAGGAUUAGAUACCCUGGUAGUCCACGCCGUAAACGAUGAGUACUAGCUGUCGGAGGUUACCCCCUUCGGUGGCGCAG